Molecule: long non-coding RNA, 720 nt
Organism: Vidua macroura (Pin-tailed whydah)
Lineage: Eukaryota; Metazoa; Chordata; Aves; Passeriformes; Viduidae
Exons: 3
Source: RefSeq, a predicted model, not a curated record
CUGCACCCUGGAAACAGCUGGGAAGCUGCCUUCUGGUUGCACAGACACUCAGUCCAGGAGCUUCAAGAGAUAUAGAGGAACCUAAAAUUAAAGACUCACAUUUAACAUCUCUCUACUUCAAGCAAGUCAGCAAAUGAGGCAAAGCUGUGAAGUUCAUUAAUACUAGAAGAAAUGAACAUGAGUCCUACCUGAUUCCUGAAGCUUCCCCUUGAAUGUACCAUUUUUUGUUAGAGGACAGUUGUGCUGUUUCUUCUCUCUUUCAGAACGGCUGGACCCAGCUUCUGGAUAAAUUGAGAAUACCUACAACUACAUCUACAACUGAACAAACACACAGAAAGGGAUGGGCGUGCCCAAAGGAUGAAACCUGUGCAGGAUGAGGUCCUGACCAUUGCUGCUGGGCAUUGCUGAGGCCCAGAGCCUGGACCAUGGUCACCGUGUACUGCUGCAGGGCUGGGCACCUGGAGCACCAGCCAAGGCCACGGAUGACAGGGCGAAGGGGGUGACAUCGGCUCAUCAGCAAGCCCAAGAGGUGUCAAGACCUUGCAGGAACAAAGGCAGAGGGGAGUGGAAAGGAAUUAGCUGAGAGAUGAUACAACUGCUCUGCAGAGCACAGCCACCACAGGAGCUGUAAUCACAGAGGAAACAGUGUCUGUCUGAAACACUAUUUCUGCUUUUUUUUGUGUAAAUAUAGGAACUAUGACUUCAUGUCUCGCACUUCGA